Molecule: ribosomal RNA, 106 nt
Filed under: Ailuropoda melanoleuca (giant panda)
Lineage: Eukaryota; Metazoa; Chordata; Mammalia; Carnivora; Ursidae
Source: RNAcentral
GUCUACAGCCAUCCCACCUUGAACGCACCGAGUCUCGUCUGAUCUUGGAAGCUGAGCAGGGUCAGGCCUGGGUAGUAGUUAUAUGGGAGAAUAUGUAUUUUAGUCU